Molecule: ribosomal RNA, 500 nt
Filed under: uncultured bacterium
Lineage: Bacteria
Description: partial 16S ribosomal RNA
Rfam family: Bacterial small subunit ribosomal RNA
Source: RNAcentral
AUUGAACGCUGGCGGCAGGCCUAACACAUGCAAGUCGAGCGGUAGAGAGAAGCUUGCUUCUCUUGAGAGCGGCGGACGGGUGAGUAAUGCCUAGAAAUCUGCCUGGUAGUGGGGGAUAACGUUCGGAAACGGACGCUAAUACCGCAUACGUCCUACGGGAGAAAGCAGGGGACCUUCGGGCCUUGCGCUAUCAGAUGAGCCUAGGUCGGAUUAGCUCGUUGGUGGGGUAAUGGCUCACCAAGGCGACGAUCCGUAACUGGUCUGAGAGGAUGAUCAGUCACACUGGAACUGAGACACGGUCCAGACUCCUACGGGAGGCAGCAGUGGGGAAUAUUGGACAAUGGGCGAAAGCCUGAUCCAGCCAUGCCGCGUGUGUGAAGAAGGUCUUCGGAUUGUAAAGCACUUUAAGUUGGGAGGAAGGGCAGUAAAUUAAUACUUUGCUGUUUUGACGUUACCGACAGAAUAAGCACCGGCUAACUCUGUGCCAGCAGCCGCAGUAA